This is a long non-coding RNA of Spinacia oleracea (spinach), 215 nucleotides long. RefSeq lists it as uncharacterized. NCBI's taxonomy places the organism in Eukaryota, Viridiplantae, Streptophyta, Magnoliopsida, Caryophyllales, Amaranthaceae. The transcript is spliced from 2 exons. The record is from RefSeq and is a predicted model, not a curated record.
CGUUAAAGUGGCCUAUCAGUUUGUUUACACAAGUCUCUAAGGAUCAAUAAGCAUUGUCCAUCUGCAGGUUUGAAGAUGAUGCAUCAUUGGGGAUCGGGAUUAGAGAGCUUGUAGUUAGAUUUGCUUUAUUAAGUGAUUUGGUUUGUUAACUUAAAUUUGAAAUUUGUCGUACUAUUCGUAUUUCCUUAUUUCAGUUAAAUGGGUUUUGGACUAAA